Molecule: long non-coding RNA, 1962 nt
Filed under: Sus scrofa (pig)
Lineage: Eukaryota; Metazoa; Chordata; Mammalia; Artiodactyla; Suidae
Description: lncRNA (ENSSSCG00005021363.1)
Source: RNAcentral
UGUGGGGCGCGCCGGGCAGCUGCUCCGUGCACAGAGGCACGCUUUGGGUCUAGCCCUUGCAAGAUCUGUUUCAAAGGAGGGUGGUGCCUUUGGGGAUCUUUAUUUUUUAAUUUUCCCAUUAAAAGUAUAGUCGAUUCACAAGGUCGUGCCACGGCUGAUCUUUAAAACCUGGAAGGCGAGCCUGCAGAUUCGACGUGGGGGGGAUCCCCCUCCCGACCUCCCAGCACGUGGUUCAAGGAAGGGCACGGAGCGACCUGUGACCGUGCGUGGGAAUCUGAGCCCGCGGUCAGGGCCAACCUCCCUGCAUCAGACCUGCUGCCUGGAACGUGGCCUUCCCCGCCGUCCACUCCCCGGGCACCCUCCCCCGGGGCUCCAUCUGGAAGCUGGCCGUCUCUUCUCAGGGCCCUUGCGCCCAGGACCUCCGCCCGGAGAGCCUGCUCCGCCGGCAGGGUCGCCCAGAGGCCUGGCGCUUGGGUUUGCAUUUUCCCAGCCUGUACCCCACGGGCGCCUGGGGAGCUGCAGCAGCCCUCAGCCCUACCUGCAGCACGUAGCCCUCCCGGGCGCUCUGCUCCCGGCCCAGAGCCACCCUCAGCUGGUCCUGCAGCAGCCGGUUCUGCUCCAGAAGGUCCGAGGCCUCCUUCUGGCUCUGCUCCAACUGUUGGCAGAAAGACACAUUUUAAAGCCGAGUGACAGUAACAGAAGCAGCGGCACAGCACCAGCCCGCGGGACAUAUCUGACUGCAGCUGGGCUGGGCUCGCCGGACUCGCUGCGGGCCUUCCAGGGGCUGGCCCUGCAGUGAUUUCCACGCCUGCUUGAGGACCAGCAGGCGCAGGCCCCACCAGGAGAUGAGGGCUUGGUGCUCAUGGCAGAAGGAAGCCUUCCGCCCGCCGGGUGCCCUGGGUGGCCUCCGCGCAGUCCAACAGGCCCCUGGGCAGGCCUGACUCCAGGCUCUACCUCAGCUUCGACACAGCCACCCCGUCUAGCAGGCUCACGGGAAACGCUUCCUAGGAAACCGUGUUGGUGAGACGGGUCCUCAGAAGCGAGCUGCUCCUCCCUCCUGCUCUGAGUGGUUUUGAGCCCGGGUAUCCCCUGCCUGCCCCCUUCCUGGACGUUCCCCGCGUGUGCCCUGGAGGUGAAGGAGCUGGGUGUGCCGCGGGCUGGGCCACAGGCACGCACGGGGCCUUGGUGUUCAGGCCCUGGCCUGCCAGGUCCACUGCGGCCUGCUGACCGGCAGGCUCCUUUUGGCUCCUGAGAGCAACCCGGGUCGGAACUGUCACUCUACUGCACUCUGCCUCUGUGACUGCACGAGCAGGUGCAGAAAAUGAAGACAAAAUCUCCGUGCUGAUGCUAGUGAUUAAUGUCAGCCACCUGAAUUUCACAAAGUGUGAAGGUGGGAAGUGGAGACAGGCCAAGGCAGCCAGGCUGUGACUUCCUCGGCUGCUCUCUUGCUAAGAGCAACUCUGAAGCGUGUUCUUUUCACCCCAGAAGGGGGCCAUAAUGCUGCACCUCCUUGGCCACGAACCUCUGUUCGGACUUACAAAGCCAGGGUCCAAAUCCCGCAGACAGGCUUUCUGGGUACAUCUUCACGGCGGAAACGGAGGUCUCAAAGGCGGGGACCAGCCUCCUCACCCCUCUCUGGGGAGGCUCGCUGCCCCAGCCCCAGCCGCCUGCCCUGCACCCUCGUCAGGUCCCCGAGGUUCCCAGGGCUGCCUGGCGCCCAGGGAAACCCAGCUCUGUUCAGCCCCUCUUCCACCCAGACCGCCAGUUCAUGCCUGAAACGGGGCCCUGCAAGCCCACCAGCCUCAGCUCUGGCACCCCUGGCUCUGCAUGGUCGACUCUGGUCCUUGGCAAGGCCCGGUGCUCCUCCCUGCCCCCCACACAUCCCUGGCCUGCGCUGCCUUCUGAGGACCUGUCUGUCCACCUGUCUGUCUCCCCGUGGGGGCCUCGGCAAGCCUCUGGUGG